This 89-nucleotide non-coding RNA is filed under the name Haematobacter massiliensis. RNAcentral describes it as "Glycine sequence". It matches the Rfam family "Glycine riboswitch aptamer". From Rfam's summary of the family: This family represents the bacterial glycine riboswitch. Glycine riboswitches usually consist of two metabolite-binding aptamers domains with similar structures in tandem. The aptamers cooperatively bind glycine to regulate the expression of downstream genes. The record is from Rfam by way of RNAcentral. Lineage: Bacteria; Pseudomonadati; Pseudomonadota; Alphaproteobacteria; Rhodobacterales; Paracoccaceae.
CUGUCAGGAUCGGGAGAACCGGUGAAAUCCCGGUGCCGAAGGAGCAACCGCCCCGGUAAACUCUCAGGCGAACGGACCGUUCUGGCAAA